UACGGAGGAUCCGAGCGUUAUCCGGAUUUAUUGGGUUUAAAGGGAGCGUAGGCGGGUUGUUAAGUCAGUUGUGAAAGUUUGCGGCUCAACCGUAAAAUUGCAGUUGAUACUGGCAUCCUUGAGUACAGUAGAGGUAGGCGGAAUUCGUGGUGUAGCGGUGAAAUGCUUAGAUAUCACGAAGAACUCCGAUUGCGAAGGCAGCCUGCUGGACUGUAACUGGCGCUGAUGCUCGAAAGUGUGGGUAUCAAACAGG
This 253-nucleotide ribosomal RNA is filed under the name uncultured bacterium. RNAcentral describes it as "partial 16S ribosomal RNA". It matches the Rfam family "Bacterial small subunit ribosomal RNA", at positions 524 to 776 of the family's 1533-position model. The record is from RNAcentral.